CUUGCUUUGGUCAGUUGUAUAUUGAAUGGCGCUACAAUUAACUACUACUGCCAAUAAGUCUGCAGUAAUUAAGAUUAACAUGUUAACAGUUAAUUUGAUUAGUAGGGGCUAGUUAGUUGAGGGAAAAGGGGUCAGAACUAGCGCAUCUUUGAAGGAUCUCGACAUAUGCUACAAUAUUUUUA
This is a long non-coding RNA of Capsicum annuum, 182 nucleotides long. RefSeq lists it as uncharacterized. The record is from RefSeq and is a predicted model, not a curated record. The transcript has 2 exons. NCBI's taxonomy places the organism in Eukaryota, Viridiplantae, Streptophyta, Magnoliopsida, Solanales, Solanaceae.